CCAGUUUUUAAUAAUUUUCAUUUUGUACAUAUUCUCCAACUUACGCACUAUAUCACGUUUUUCAUAGCCAUGGAGACGCAAAGAAUAGUAAUACUGCUUAUUACUUUGUAAUUCAGUUCUAUUAUGUUUUUACAGUAUCGCACCAGUGCGAAGAUCAUUUUCAGAACUGUACUUAUCUGGCCUUAAGUGGCGCCUGCGCUAAAGACUCGGCAUGGAUGACUGCGCACUGUGGCAUGUCCUGCAACUCAUGUCAAGGAACACCAACGUUUCCUGUGUGUGAAGACCGGCACAAAUACUGCCCCUACUGGGCUUACGCUGGAGAGUGCAAAAAAACUUCUGCUUACAUGUUGGUGAACUGUAAAUACAGCUGUAACAUUUGUGGAGGAAAUGUUGCGGAGUGUCAAGACCAAGACUAGAAAUGCUCUUCCCUUGCAAACAAAGGAGAUUGUUUGCAUAAUGCCGCGUACAUGUUGGUUAAAUGCAGGAAAAGCUGCUUCAUGUGUGGAGUAGAGUCAUCAGCAUGUCCGGACAAGAAUGACCGCUGUACCUAUCUCGCUUACAACGGUGAUUGCCGUACAAAGCAAACCUACAUGAUGAAGUUCUGUCAAAAGAGCUGCACUAGAUGUGAAGGUUGUACUGACAAACACAAGUAUUGUUCCUUUUGGGCUGCAAAAGGCGAGUGUGAAAAAAAUCCUGGUUACAUGAAGUUCUACUGCCAAAAGAGUUGCGACAUCUGCCAAGGUAUUUGUUUCAUUUCUUUGAUUUGUAUUUGAUUUGUAUUGUUGGAGAGGCUCGUGAUUUGCCGUCAGAGGUCAGCGUGGACAGUUCAUUCACGUAGAUAGACCUAACCUUACCAGCAUCUGUGCUGAGACCGCAAUAUUGAAUAACACUUGGCUGUUGGGCAGCAUUCGUCUUUCAAACAGUCUUCAAAUCCAUAUUACCAUUACUAUUUAGCGCACGUUACGUGUCAUUAUACAAAAAGAGUGUUGUGUUCGCUUUAUAGGAAGUGUAAGAUUUUGUUUCACAUUCGAUUGGUCUCGGUUCCUUCAACCGCCUGUUAUCUCUUUUAUGAAAUAAAUCUGCUUCUUAUUAUCAUUGUUGUCACUUAUUUAUGCAUUU
RNAcentral lists this long non-coding RNA (1119 nucleotides) under Orbicella faveolata. Its description in RNAcentral is "uncharacterized LOC110054644, transcript variant X2". Lineage: Eukaryota; Metazoa; Cnidaria; Anthozoa; Scleractinia; Merulinidae. The record is from RNAcentral.